RNAcentral lists this ribosomal RNA (500 nucleotides) under uncultured bacterium. RNAcentral describes it as "partial 16S ribosomal RNA". It matches the Rfam family "Bacterial small subunit ribosomal RNA", at positions 30 to 523 of the family's 1533-position model. The record is from RNAcentral.
AUUGAACGCUGGCGGCAUGCCUUACACAUGCAAGUCGAACGGUAACAGGGUGCUUGCACCGCUGGCGAGUGGCGAACGGGUGAGUAACGCGUCGGAACGUGCCGAGUAGUGGGGGAUAACGCAGCGAAAGUUGUGCUAAUACCGCAUACGUACUGAGGUAGAAAGUGGGGGACCUUCGGGCCUCACGCUAUUCGAGCGGCCGACGUCUGAUUAGCUAGUAGGUGAGGUAAAGGCUCACCUAGGCGACGAUCAGUAGCGGGUCUGAGAGGAUGAUCCGCCCCACUGGGGCUGAGACACGGCCCAGACUCCUACGGGAGGCAGCAGUGGGGAAUUUUGGACAAUGGGCGAAAGCCUGAUCCAGCCAUGCCGCGUGUCUGAAGAAGGCCUUCGGGUUGUAAAGGACUUUUGUCAGGGAGGAAAUCCCUAGUGCUAAUAACACUGGGGGAUGACAGUACCUGAAGAAUAAGCACCGGCUAACUACGUGCCAGCAGCCGCCGUAA